This 492-nucleotide ribosomal RNA is filed under the name bacterium fme08x94p430. Its description in RNAcentral is "bacterial SSU rRNA". It matches the Rfam family "Bacterial small subunit ribosomal RNA", at positions 48 to 535 of the family's 1533-position model. The record is from RNAcentral.
GCUACACAUGCAGUCGAGCGGCAGCACAGAGGAACUUGUUCCUUGGGUGGCGAGCGGCGGACGGGUGAGUAAUGCCUAGGAAUUGCCCUGAUGUGGGGGAUAACCAUUGGAAACGAUGGCUAAUACCGCAUGAUGCCUACGGGCCAAAGAGGGGGACCUUCGGGCCUCUCGCGUCAGGAUAUGCCUAGGUGGGAUUAGCUAGUUGGUGAGGUAAUGGCUCACCAAGGCGACGAUCCCUAGCUGGUCUGAGAGGAUGAUCAGCCACACUGGAACUGAGACACGGUCCAGACUCCUACGGGAGGCAGCAGUGGGGAAUAUUGCACAAUGGGCGCAAGCCUGAUGCAGCCAUGCCGCGUGUAUGAAGAAGGCCUUCGGGUUGUAAAGUACUUUCAGUCGUGAGGAAGGUGGUGUUGUUAAUAGCAGCAUCAUUUGACNUUAGCGACAGAGAGCACCGGCUAACUCCGUGCCAGCAGCCGCGUAAUACGGAGGGGC